CAAUCCAAAAAACAGGAACGUGGGAAUGAGCAUCCAGCAAUUCUUUAUUGCUUACCAGAGGUGAGUUGGGUCCUUUCUCAGUGGAGUCCCUUGUUCAGUGUUGCUGUGGACAGUAAGUGUGGUUAUUAUUUGGAAACAGUCCUUUUCCAAGGUGGAAGGAGCCCUCAGGUCCGUGAGGUUUGGCUCUCCUGUCUCUGGAAGGAGGAGCUGCAGGUCCUCCAUGGACAGUCCUGGGGCCUGACGUGUUCCUGCUGCUGCUUCUCCCAGUUUCUUGCUUGUGGAUGGUGCUGAGACAUUUCCUCUGAGCAGACACUGCCUGGGAGAGCUUGAACUGCAAUUACAGUUGUGCUUUUCUCCAAAAAGGAAGAGAAUCUGGUGGAUUCUGGAAACUGGACCCAAGUCCAGGGUGAGCUGUGCCAGGAGACACAGGUAGUGGAGGUUCUUUGCUUUUGAGUGUUUCCAAAGACACUGUUGAGCUGGACAUGAACAACUGUUCUUAUUUUAUGGCCCUUCAAGGUGCUAAAUGGAUAUUUAUCCCAGGAUUAGCAGACAUCAGGAUCAUCACCAGGAUGAUCCAGAGGAACUGGUGUCCGUGGAAGUGAGGCCCUCUCUUGCUGUGUUUGGAGUGCUGGUGCAGCACUAAGUGAUGACUCGAGCUGGGCUCAGUUGCCUUUACUGCCUGGGGUCAUUCCUCACCAGUGUGACCAGCCCACAGUGUCACUGGAGUCACUGGGGCAUUUUCAAUAUUGGAAUUUGAAUUUCAGUGAAAGAAUUACGGUCUCUAGUUGUUCCUAUUGUGCAUUUCCUCUCUUAAGGCUUUGAGGUAUUGGAAGUGCAGUUUAAAAAGAUUAAAAAUUCUAAUUACCAGAGAUGUUCAUGUGUGCUGUUGUCAGUGGUAAAGCUUUUAUUGAUUCAGAAGUGUAGGAAGGGCCAUUAAAUAGAUGCAGGGAUCAUAUCCCUGCCAAAACCUGCAGCCAUUUUCUGCUGCUGAAUCCCUUUUCCUUCCCAGAUCAGAACUGUGCAGUGUCAGACAAGGACUCUAAAAUUAGCAGAGCCCAUUUUGUGAGAUGGGAGGGAUGUGAAAUGAGCUGUGCUGGAGUUUUCCCCUCAUACCUUUUCGGUGCUGGAAGUGCCUGUGCUACACUUGAGGGUGGUUGGUCAGCCUUCCUUCAGACCUGCACCCACCAGCUGUGCCUUCUGAUCCCUCUCCUGGGAGGGAGGGGAAAGAUGGAGCGGGGAAAGCAUCUUAUUUCCCGUGGUGUGACAGGAGGGACAGAUGCACCAACUCCUGAGGGUGCCCUGCUGCCAAAGGAGUGCCCACUGUCCCUUCCCUGCAGGCUGACAGUCCCAACUCCAACUUCCCGUCUCCAUCCAACUCUUGGAUCUGCUGUGGAGCCACUGUUGUGGCUGGAGUGCACCCCCUGCUCCCUGCCCUCCCACAGGAGGCUGUGUCCCUGCUUUUCCCUGUUUCUAAAUAUCUGGAUAUCAUGGAUUUAUCCCUUAUCUGCCAUCAGGGCCCUCAAGUGCCCCGAGAACGUGCCGGGCUGCGGCCACUGGCCCAGGGCCCCGGAGCAUCCGCAAAGGUAUUAAUUAUACCUUUUGUUACACUUGUUCCCCCAGGUGCAGUAAAUUGGAGCAAGAAGUGAGUGAAAUGCAGCCAUCCAUGCCUGCUGAUUUAUCACUUCAGGAAAAUAAAACCCUCUCAGAAGCUCGGGAGAUUGUGCCUUUUGUUUGGGCCAGGCCUCCGACUUCCUUGAUCGCGCGUAAAAGAUUUCCUGUUUGUGAGAAUGGAAAGAGGUCCUUUAAACCAAAUGAGACACAAAUGAGAAAAUAUGUUGUUCAGCCACUGGUGGCUGGAAGCUUUCGGAGCUGGUGUGGUUGGUGGUGAUGCCCCUGGAAAAGGCACAGGAAUAAAACCAAGCCAGGCUGCUUUCCCGUGUUUAUUCCAGCUUGUGAGAAUGCAAGAGGCACCAGAAGCAGGGGCAGGAAAGGAUUCCACACAGGAAGGCCCCAGUGAUGCACGCGGCUCGUUAGCACACGCUCCCGUCGAUGACCUCGCUCGCGAUGGUAGAGGUUUGUUUGCCAUGUGCUCGUGCCUUUUUAUCUCCAGUUUUGAUUAUAAAAAUGUUCCUGUUUAAAAGACCCACGCCAGGGAAUAAAUCUCUGGGCCCAACAGCCCCUUUGAGCACGGGCAGCCCCAGCAUUUAACUUGUAACAAAGAGACUUUUGGUGGAAGCUUUUUGAUAAAAAGUUGGCAGCAUAUCAGAGGAGCAGUUUGGCCAUGAGAUAUGAACAAGGAUGUCACUCUGGAUGUUUUAACUUCUUACCUUUCCUUCCAAUUAUUUUUUUUAAAUGAUUAUGAAUGAAUUAUAAACCAGAAGAUGAUUACUUUCAGUGUGGGUGUUUCCAAAUAGUGCCUCAAUUAAAGAAGCCAGUCUGUUUUGCUUUUAACAUAAUCCAGAGAUCUGGCAGCCCAAUGAGAUACUGCCGUAAACCAGCAGCAGUUUAAAGGAGUAAGAAUUCAGAGUGACCUGAAGAAUAAUUAGCUUUUAGCACAAAAUCUGUCAGGAUAAGGAGCUUGGACUGUUGUUUAACUUAUUUGAUUUAACUGGGACCAAAGCACUGGUUGCCUUCCCUCUCAUGUGAGUGGCAGGUGGUGGAAAACAGCAGAAGACAAGGUGAGGGUGAAGAAGGGUA
Molecule: long non-coding RNA, 2697 nt
Organism: Lepidothrix coronata (blue-crowned manakin)
Lineage: Eukaryota; Metazoa; Chordata; Aves; Passeriformes; Pipridae
Exons: 3
Source: RefSeq, a predicted model, not a curated record